UUAUCGCUCUGGGAUGAGUCUGCGGGCAAUUAGCUUGUAGGUAGGGUAAGAGCCUACCAAGGCAACGAUUGUUAGCUGGNCUGAGAGGGUGGUCGGCCACAUUGGGACUGAGACACGGGCCAGACUCCUACGGGAGGCAGCAGCUAAGAAUAUUCCGCAAUGGGGGAAACCCUGACGGAGCGACGCCGCGUGAUAGAUGAAGGCUUUACAGGUUGUAAAUAUCUUUUAUAAGGGAAGAAGGUAUUCCACAGGCAGAGUAUUGANCGGUACCUUAUGCAAUAAGCCCCGGCGUAAUUACGUGCCAGCAGCCGCGGUAAUACGUAAGGGGCGAGCGUUGUUCGGAGUUAUUGGGCGUAAAGGGUAUGUAGGCGGAGUAUUAAGUCAGAUGUGAAAUUUAAAGGCUCAACCUUUAACCUGCAUUUGAUACUGAUGCUCUUUGAGUUCGGGAGAGGAUACUGGAAUUCCUGGUGGAGGAGUGAAAUCUUUAGAUAUCAGGAAGAACACCAAUGGCGAAGGCAGGUAUCUGGCCCUGAACUGACGCUGAGGUACGAAAGCCAGGGUUGCGAACGGGAUUAGAUACCCCGGUAGUCCUGGCAGUAUACGAUGUAUACUGGGUAUAUCAGGUAUCGAUCCUGGUGUGCCGUAGCUAACGCGUUAAGUAUACCGCCUGGGGAGUAUGCUCGCAAGAGUGAUACUCAAAGGAAUUGACGGGGGCCCGCACAAGCGGUGGAGCAUGUGGUUUUAUUCGACGAUACGCGAGGAACCUUACCAGGGUUUGACAGUAGGACGGUUGGAGUAGAGAUACUCUUUCCCUUCGGGGCGUCCUAACUAGGUGCUGCAUGGCUGUCGUCAGCUCGUGUCGUGAGAUGUUGGG
Molecule: ribosomal RNA, 874 nt
Filed under: uncultured organism
Description: bacterial SSU rRNA
Rfam family: Bacterial small subunit ribosomal RNA
Source: RNAcentral